RNAcentral lists this unclassified non-coding RNA (230 nucleotides) under uncultured fungus. RNAcentral describes it as "sequence contains ITS1, 5.8S rRNA gene". The stretch from base 182 to 230 matches the Rfam family "5.8S ribosomal RNA", at positions 1 to 49 of the family's 154-position model. The record is from RNAcentral. Lineage: Eukaryota; Fungi.
UCUCCGUAGGUGAACCUGCGGAGGGAUCAUUACUGAGUUCUGGGUCUAACCGACCCGACCUCCAACCCUUUGUUAUCCAACUCUGUUGCCUCGGGGGCGACCCUGCCGCUUCGGCGGUGCGGCGCCCCCGGAGGCCAUUAAACACUGCAUCAUUGCGUCGGAGUUAAAGUAAAUUAAACAAAACUUUCAACAACGGAUCUCUUGGUUCCAGCAUCGAUGAAGAACGCAGC